ACUGCGUUUUGGCUCUAUAGGAUGCCCCCAGCACUUCGGUCUAUAGGGAUGCCCCCCAGGGUUUUGAUUUUGCGAUAGACCAUGAUCCUGGACGGGACUUUCAGGAUUUGGGGAUGAUCUAUUCUUAGACUGAGACAACUCUUGCACAAGAUUUUUACCAUAAUUCGGAACGGGAGGUAAUUUCUUGCCAGAUCGUAACUCCGUCUGGUUUACUUGGGUUAUAAAGAAAUCUGAACCAUCUGGCAUGAUAAGACUAGACUCUACCUUAAAAAAAUUCAUCAACUUUAUAGGUCCGGCCGUCAAAUGCUGCACUCUCCACAUCCCCUGAGACUGAAGAAGUAUGAGAACCGUCGGUGUUGUUCAGAUUGGAAGUCCCAAUCAUCAUCGGAAUCACUCCAUUCA
RNAcentral lists this unclassified non-coding RNA (402 nucleotides) under Hevea brasiliensis (rubber tree). The record is from RNAcentral. Lineage: Eukaryota; Viridiplantae; Streptophyta; Magnoliopsida; Malpighiales; Euphorbiaceae.